Gossypium arboreum is the source of this 785-nucleotide long non-coding RNA. RefSeq lists it as uncharacterized. Lineage: Eukaryota; Viridiplantae; Streptophyta; Magnoliopsida; Malvales; Malvaceae. The record is from RefSeq and is a predicted model, not a curated record. The transcript has 2 exons.
AGACGGAUGAUCCAACCCAUUAUCUAAAUAAAAAUACAAACAAUUUCCAUGUCAUUUAUUGAAAAAGUAAAAUCUAAAACUACUAAAAUCCAAAACUCACCAUUAUGGGUCCUACAAAAUUGAAGCCCGCUUCAUCUAAUUCCUGGAAAGGGCCAACCGGUGGCCUCGGAUUCUUCUUUUUCCAAACAAUCCUUGCCUUUUUCUAGGUGGGUAGCUCGAUCGUCACCUUCCUCUUUGACGUAGUCUGUGCGACCAUGGAUUUAAAAGUUGGGGUGGAAAACGACGGUGCGGCGAUGGGAGCAAAACUAUUGCAGAAACGGAGCUGGAAAUAGAGGGCGUUGGCUUUUGCAAACAACGGUUUCAGGCAACCACUGGGGAAACCUGGGGCUGAAGCGGGUUUAUAUUUGGAAUGUUGUUUAACACGUGGGGUACUACGCCGGAGAGGAAGGUGUUCCGACGAGGAUUGUUAGGUAGAAGAAGAAGAAUCCAGCAAGGCCACCGACGAGUCCGACAGUGCAGAAAGUUGUUCCGGCGAAGGUGAUUAUGAGGAUUACAUGGAAAAUUAUGUGGCAAAAGAAAUUUUAAAAUCUUUGUCAUCAAGUUAAUGACCCAUCGACGGAGGGUUAGUCAUUUAGUGGUUUUGGACUAAAAAAACAAAUUAUACCUUAAGAUAAUUAUUUUGUAACUUUUAUAGGCGAAUGAUUUACUUAUAGACGAGUGAUUAUUUAUGUAGUUUAUCUAUAAAUAAAUUAGAUUGUGCAAUAGUAUAUUAUUGUUUAUUAAAA